GAGUAACACGUAGGCAACCUGCCCUCAAGUUUGGGACAACUACCGGAAACGGUAGCUAAUACCGAAUAAUUGUUUUCUUCGCCUGAAGGAAACUGGAAAGACGGAGCAAUCUGUCACUUGGGGAUGGGCCUGCGGCGCAUUAGCUAGUUGGUGAGGUAACGGCUCACCAAGGCGACGAUGCGUAGCCGACCUGAGAGGGUGAUCGGCCACACUGGGACUGAGACACGGCCCAGACUCCUACGGGAGGCAGCAGUAGGGAAUCUUCCGCAAUGGGCGAAAGCCUGACGGAGCAAUGCCGCGUGAGUGAUGAAGGUUUUCGGAUCGUAAAGCUCUGUUGCCAGGGAAGAACGCUUGGGAGAGUAACUGCUCUCAAGGUGACGGUACCUGAGAAGAAAGCCCCGGCUAACUACGUGCCAGCAGCCGCGGUAAUACGUAGGGGGCAAGCGUUGUCCGGAAUUAUUGGGCGUAAAGCGCGCGCAGGCGGUCAUUUAAGUCUGGUGUUUAAUCCCGGGGCUCAACCCCGGAUCGCACUGGAAACUGGGUGACUUGAGUGCAGAAGAGGAGAGUGGAAUUCCACGUGUAGCGGUGAAAUGCGUAGAUAUGUGGAGGAACACCAGUGGGCGAAAGGCGACUCUCUGGGCUGUAACUGACGCUGAGGCGC
RNAcentral lists this ribosomal RNA (661 nucleotides) under Paenibacillus sp. 1Caendo94. Its description in RNAcentral is "bacterial SSU rRNA". It matches the Rfam family "Bacterial small subunit ribosomal RNA", at positions 108 to 754 of the family's 1533-position model. Lineage: Bacteria; Bacillati; Bacillota; Bacilli; Caryophanales; Paenibacillaceae. The record is from RNAcentral.